CAGGGAGACAACAAAAUGUUUAAUUUUAUUAUUUUGUCACCUUAGGUCGAUCGGUAUCUCACGUUCUUAAUCAUUUAAGAAUUUCAUUUCCUAAGUUUUUCUAGGUCACACCCAUUAUUUUUCCUGGGCCAUUAGCUCAGGUGGUUAGAGCGCACCCCUGAUAAGGGUGAGGUCCCUGGUUCAAGUCCAGGAUGGCCCAUAUCUCUAUGUUGGGGGUAUAGCUCAGUUGGUAGAGCGCCUGCUUUGCAAGCAGGAUGUCAGCGGUUCGAGUCCGCUUACCUCCACUGAUUACCACCUCUGUCAUAAUUUGCAAAAGGAAAUAUUUUGAGUUGUGAUCAAUCUGAACGAUUCUAGCUUCCUAAUGAAUUCAUUAAGAUGCUGGACUCAUUGAAUUAAUUUCAUUGUUUUCAGAGAACCUUGACAACUGCAUAGAUUAUUUUUAAAGACAAUAAGCAUCUUUAAUGAUGCAGAUUUAUUAUUUGUGCGAAUGCAUUAAUAACAAUUCUAUUAAGCUGAUGCUUCAAUUUUUGAAGUUAUU
Molecule: transfer RNA, 538 nt
Filed under: uncultured Prochlorococcus sp.
Lineage: Bacteria; Bacillati; Cyanobacteriota; Cyanophyceae; Synechococcales; Prochlorococcaceae
Description: partial 16S-23S ribosomal RNA intergenic spacer
Rfam family: tRNA (bases 212-284)
Source: RNAcentral